RNAcentral lists this ribosomal RNA (465 nucleotides) under uncultured bacterium. RNAcentral's name for it is "bacterial SSU rRNA". It matches the Rfam family "Bacterial small subunit ribosomal RNA", at positions 330 to 793 of the family's 1533-position model. The record is from RNAcentral.
ACCAGACUCCUACGGGAGGCAGCAGUGAGGAAUAUUGGUCAAUGGGCGCGAGCCUGAACCAGCCAAGUCGCGUGAGGGAAGACGGUCCUAUGGAUUGUAAACCUCUUUUGUCGGGGAGCAAAAGACGCCACGCGUGGCGUUCCGAGAGUACCCGAAGAAAAAGCAUCGGCUAACUCCGUGCCAGCAGCCGCGGUAAUACGUAGGGGGCUAGCGUUAUCCGGAUUUACUGGGCGUAAAGGGUGCGUAGGCGGUCUUUCAAGUCAGGAGUGAAAGGCUACGGCUCAACCGUAGUAAGCUCUUGAAACUGGCAGCCUUGAGUACAGUUGAGGUAGGCGGAAUUCGUGGUGUAGCGGUGAAAUGCUUAGAUAUCACGAAGAACUCCGAUUGCGAAGGCAGCCUACUAAACUGCCACUGACAUUGAUGCUCGAAAGUGUGGGUAUCAAACAGGAUUAGAUACCCUCGUAC